AGAGAAGAAGACACUGCGUAGGGUAAAGGGGGCAACAGGUGAACGCAGGUGUUCUGAAAACCCCCCGGAAGUUAGUUAUUAUGGUUUGGCCGCUUACCAUCGUGCUCCACAGUUGCAGCACCGACAGGGCCCGGAGUGUGUGCUGCAGACGAUCUGUCAAGAUUUCCAGCUCCUGGGUCAGCUUGUACUCCUCACGAAACUGCUCACCCAGCAGCACCAGGUCACGCGUGGCGUCAUGUAGUGGGAUGUCGCUCAGCAUGGCUUCUGUAGCAUCCCAAGAGUGGUAGCGCUCUGAGACAAGUCUCCUCACAAUGAGUACAAUCUACAUCUUCAAGGCACUGCAGCUGUUCUUAGUAUUUACUGUCCCA
Toxotes jaculatrix (banded archerfish) is the source of this 368-nucleotide long non-coding RNA. RefSeq lists it as uncharacterized. The transcript has 3 exons. NCBI's taxonomy places the organism in Eukaryota, Metazoa, Chordata, Actinopteri, Toxotidae. The record is from RefSeq and is a predicted model, not a curated record.